GUCAUAUGCUUGUCUCAAAGAUUAAGCCAUGCAUGUCUCAGUACAAGCCAAAUUAAGGUGAAACCGCGAAAGGCUCAUUAAAUCAGUUAUGGUUCCUUAGAUCGUACCCACAAUUACUUGGAUAACUGUGGUAAUUCUAGAGCUAAUACACGCAAACAGAGCUCCGACCGGAGACGGAAGGAGUGCUUUUAUUAGAUCAAAACCAAUCGGUGGCGGGUUCGCUCGUUAUCGUACAACUUGGUGACUCUGAAUAACUUUACGCUGAUCGCACGGUCGUCGCACCGGCGACGCAUCUUUCAAAUGUCUGCCUUAUCAACUGUCGAUGGUAGGUUCUGCGCCUACCAUGGUUGUAACGGGUAACGGGGAAUCAGGGUUCGAUUCCGGAGAGGGAGCCUGAGAAACGGCUACCACAUCCAAGGAAGGCAGCAGGCGCGCAAAUUACCCACUCCCGGCACGGGGAGGUAGUGACGAAAAAUAACGAUACGGGACUCAUCCGAGGCCCCGUAAUCGGAAUGARUACACUCUAAACCCUUUAACGAGGAUCAAUUGGAGGGCAAGUCUGGUGCC
Molecule: ribosomal RNA, 567 nt
Filed under: Trigonopterus pseudovalipunctatus
Lineage: Eukaryota; Metazoa; Arthropoda; Insecta; Coleoptera; Curculionidae
Description: SSU rRNA
Rfam family: Eukaryotic small subunit ribosomal RNA
Source: RNAcentral